GAGUUUGAUCAUGGCUCAGAAUGAACGCUGGCGGCAGGCCUAAAACAUGCAAGUCGAACGCCCUAGCAAUAGGGAGUGGCGCACGGGUGCGUAACAUGUGGGAAUAUGCCUUUUGGUACGGAACAACGUUUGGAAACGAACGCUAAUGCCGUAUGGUCCCUUCGGGGUAAAGAUUUAUCGCCAAAAGAUUAGCCCGCACUGGAUUAGCUAGUUGGUGAGGUAAUGGCUCACCAAGGCGACGAUCCAUAGCUGGUCUGAGAGGACGAUCAGCCACACUGGGACUGAGACACGGCCCAGACUCCUACGGGAGGCAGCAGUUAGGAAUAUUGGACAAUGGGCGCAAGCCUGAUCCAGCCAUGCCGCGUGAGUGAUGAAGGCCUUCGGUUGUAAGACUCUUUAGCCGAUGAUUAUAAUGACUGUAGUCGGAAAUAAGACCCGG
RNAcentral lists this ribosomal RNA (439 nucleotides) under uncultured bacterium. Its description in RNAcentral is "bacterial SSU rRNA". It matches the Rfam family "Bacterial small subunit ribosomal RNA", at positions 9 to 496 of the family's 1533-position model. The record is from RNAcentral.